RNAcentral lists this transfer RNA (71 nucleotides) under Kapaibacterium sp. (SeqCode). RNAcentral's name for it is "tRNA-Cys". It matches the Rfam family "tRNA". Rfam says of the family: Transfer RNA (tRNA) molecules are approximately 80 nucleotides in length. The record is from RNAcentral. Lineage: Bacteria; Pseudomonadati; Bacteroidota; Eximiradiia; Eximiradiales; Kapaibacteriaceae (SeqCode).
GGUGACGUGGCCGAGUGGUUAGGCAGCGGUCUGCAAAACCGUGUACGUAGGUUCGACUCCUAUCGUCACCU